This is a long non-coding RNA of Pteropus alecto (black flying fox), 1065 nucleotides long. RefSeq lists it as uncharacterized. NCBI's taxonomy places the organism in Eukaryota, Metazoa, Chordata, Mammalia, Chiroptera, Pteropodidae. The transcript has 3 exons. The record is from RefSeq and is a predicted model, not a curated record.
GCCUCCUCCUGGGCGGAAAGAUGCUGGAACUCAUAAUUGCGAAAGUGGGCGAGCGGAAGACGGAGAUGGGGAAGGGGGUGUGCGCACUGCAUCCCCGCCGUUAACUUGGGUGCUCACCUCCGAAAGGGUAGUCCUUUCCUCCACUCUACCCAGCUAGGUCUUCAGUUCAACAGGCUUUAUUGAAUAGCUACUGUGUGCUACCCAAGCCCCGGUAGUACAAAGUUGAGUAAGACAGUCUGAGCACCCAGGAAUCCCCGAGAUGGACCCGUGAACAAACCCGCACAACACAAAACAAGCCGUUUGAGAAGCUGUGCCAGACACAGGCCGGAGCGACCUCCUGUGCCUGGAAGGCUAACACGAUAGUGCCCGAAUAAGGUCUGAAGAAUGAAGAGUUCAUUCCAGUGCGUUAGGCAGAGAGCCGGAAGGAGGAUAUUCCCGGAAGAAGGAACAGCGAAGGUGGUCACCAAAGGUCAACUGCAAGUGACCUGUUAACAAGACCAGUGCUAGCAGAAGUGUGAUCAACCCAAAGAUCGUUUCAGCAAGGCUCCGUCAAGUAACUUUCCGGGCUUGUUUCCUCGUUGGCCAAUGCAGAUGAAGUCACAGGUGCGCCGCCAUCUCUGAAUUGUUGUGCAGGUCUGAGCGCAUCUCGGUAUGAACACACUGCAGGACCGAGAGGCAGAGGUGCAGGAGCGUGUGUGGGAGUCGUUUCCCCAGUGCCCUCCUGCUCUCCUCUCCCUGAGCUGUGGGGGUCGCUCACACUGACUUCAAAUCCCAGCUCCACAGUUUACUAGCUGUAUAAAUUUGGUAAGUUGCUCAGUCUCUUCUCUUUUGGGAAGUGAUUAUGACGCUGUGCAUGGUGGCUGGGACUAUUGACUGUGUGAUGCCUCUCACAUGGUCUGAUGCACAAGUGUGUUCUUAUGGUCACACAAAUCCUUUCCAUCCUGUACAUGUUUCAUGAAGAUUAAUGGGAAGAAUGGUGUUGCUUUUGAUAAAAUAUAUUGGAGAUGAACAAAUGAUCAGUUUAUGAUAAAGUCACAAUAAAUAUUUCUAUAUUUUAAAUAUUAA